Molecule: ribosomal RNA, 402 nt
Filed under: uncultured bacterium
Lineage: Bacteria
Description: bacterial SSU rRNA
Rfam family: Bacterial small subunit ribosomal RNA
Source: RNAcentral
UUGUNGUGUUCAUCACAGAGACACAUGGUCGGGUNUACUGUCUGUCCGACUCGCUCCACUGGGAGAUUGUUUGUGGUUCAAACGUCCCGCAUAUCUGUAUGCGCAACCCCGUUAUGGUAUAGGUUACUACGCAAGAGGACUCUAUUCAGACUGCCGUUGCACAAAACGGAGGAAGGUGGGGAUGACGGUCAAAUCAUCAUAGCCCUUUAUGACUUGUGGCUACACACGUACUACAAUGGCGUUCAACAAAGAGAAGCGAAGCCGCGAGGCAGAGCAAAACUCAAAACACAACGUCCCAGUUCAAUUGCAGGCUGCAACUCGCCUGCAUGAAGUCGGAAUUGCUAGUAAUCGCAGAUCAGCAUGCUGCGGUGAAUACGUUCCCGGGUCUUGUACACUACCGAG